GUCCACGCCGUAAACGAUGCACAUUAGGUAUGUGAGGUAUCGACCCCUUGCGUAUCGUAGCUAACGCGUUAAAUGUGCCGCCUGGGUAGUACGGCCGCAAGGCUAAAACUCAAAGGAAUUGACGGGGACCCGCACAAGCGGUGGAACAUGUGGUUUAAUUCGAUGACAAGCGAAGAACCUUACCGAGGCUUGACAUCCCUGGAAAGUCCAGGAAACUGGACCGUGCCGCAAGGAACCAGGUGACAGGUGUUGCACGGUUGCCGU
This 264-nucleotide ribosomal RNA is filed under the name uncultured bacterium. RNAcentral's name for it is "partial 16S ribosomal RNA". It matches the Rfam family "Bacterial small subunit ribosomal RNA", at positions 793 to 1055 of the family's 1533-position model. The record is from RNAcentral.